RNAcentral lists this ribosomal RNA (404 nucleotides) under Actinomycetes bacterium. Its description in RNAcentral is "Actinobacteria bacterium partial 16S ribosomal RNA". It matches the Rfam family "Bacterial small subunit ribosomal RNA", at positions 355 to 776 of the family's 1533-position model. The record is from RNAcentral. Lineage: Bacteria; Bacillati; Actinomycetota; Actinomycetes.
UGGGGAAUAUUGGACAAUGGGCGCAAGCCUGAUCCAGCCAUGCCGCGUGAGUGAUGAAGGCCCUAGGGUUGUAAAGCUCUUUCACCGGUGAAGAUAAUGACGGUAACCGGAGAAGAAGCCCCGGCUAACUUCGUGCCAGCAGCCGCGGUAAUACAAAGGGGGCUAGCGUUGUUCGGAUUUACUGGGCGUAAAGCGCACGUAGGCGGACUAUUAAGUCAGGGGUGAAAUCCCGGGGCUCAACCCCGGAACUGCCUUUGAUACUGGUAGUCUUGAGUUCGAGAGAGGUGAGUGGAAUUCCGAGUGUAGAGGUGAAAUUCGUAGAUAUUCGGAGGAACACCAGUGGCGAAGGCGGCUCACUGGCUCGAUACUGACGCUGAGGUGCGAAAGCGUGGGGAGCAAACAGG